CAUCAGUUGGCGGAACGGUCACGCGCUAGAGUUUAGCUCUUUCUCAAGCAGUUUCGACUCCUGCACCGAUGU
Sordaria macrospora k-hell is the source of this 72-nucleotide non-coding RNA. NCBI's taxonomy places the organism in Eukaryota, Fungi, Ascomycota, Sordariomycetes, Sordariales, Sordariaceae. The record is from the annotation of a RefSeq genome assembly.